AUUGAACGCUGGCGGCAUGCCUAACACAUGCAAGUCGAACGGUAACAGGAAGUAGCUUGCUGCUUCGCUGACGAGUGGCGGGUGGGUGAGUAAUGUCUGCGAAGCUGCCUGAUGUAGGGGGAUAACUACUGGAAUCGUUAGCUAAUACCGCAUAAUGUCGCAAGACCAAAGAGGGGGACCUUGGUUCCCCUUGCCAUCUGGUGUGCGCAGAUGGGAUUAGCUUGUUGGUGGGGUAACGGCUCACCAAGGCGACGAUCCCUAGCUGGUCUGAGAGGAUGACCAGCCACACUGGAACUGAGACACGGUCCAGACUCCUACGGGAGGCAGCAGUGGGGAAUAUUGCACAAUGGGCGCAAGCCUGAUGCAGCAAUGCCGCGUGUAUGAAGAAGGCCUUCGGGUUGUAAAGUGCUUUCAGCGGGGAGGAAGGGAGGAAAGUUAAUACCUUGGGUUAAUGACGUUACCCGCAGAAGAAGCACCGGCUAACUACGUG
This 490-nucleotide ribosomal RNA is filed under the name uncultured bacterium. Its description in RNAcentral is "partial 16S ribosomal RNA". It matches the Rfam family "Bacterial small subunit ribosomal RNA", at positions 30 to 507 of the family's 1533-position model. The record is from RNAcentral.